CAGAAUUCCGCGAAUCAUCGAGUCUUUGAACGCAAGUUGCGCCCGAGGCUUGUCCAAGGGCAUUUCCGCUAGAGCGUCACC
RNAcentral lists this ribosomal RNA (81 nucleotides) under Anomodon minor. RNAcentral describes it as "partial 5.8S ribosomal RNA". It matches the Rfam family "5.8S ribosomal RNA", at positions 75 to 154 of the family's 154-position model. From Rfam's summary of the family: 5.8S ribosomal RNA (5.8S rRNA) is a component of the large subunit of the eukaryotic ribosome. The record is from RNAcentral. Lineage: Eukaryota; Viridiplantae; Streptophyta; Bryopsida; Hypnales; Anomodontaceae.